RNAcentral lists this unclassified non-coding RNA (1035 nucleotides) under Hevea brasiliensis (rubber tree). Lineage: Eukaryota; Viridiplantae; Streptophyta; Magnoliopsida; Malpighiales; Euphorbiaceae. The record is from RNAcentral.
AUACCAAUAUCUUCUUCGAAGGAAGUCUCGCCACAGAAAACAUCUAACAAGGAUAUUAUUCCAAACUCAAGUCCAGCAGUAAAUUUACCAACGUUACCCAGACAUAUGAACAGUGACUUACAUGUUACUAGUUCCGACGGCUCUUUGGCCAAAGCAGAUCAUAUAGAUAUCAACCAUGUUGACAGAGGCUUGGGUGUCCCAGUUUCUACUUCUCUCAAUCUAAUUGGUGCCAACACAUCUGCCAUCCCACAGGCUAAUGAUAAUGCUGCUUCAACCCAGGACUCUGGCUGUAAAACGUUAGAGAAAUCUGACCCUGAAAUAUUACCAAGUCAACAAAUGUUGGAAAGUAGCAAGGUUGGCGUUUCAAAUCAAAUUUCUGUUGGUAACAUGACUUCUGGGUUUGAUUCUAAUUUUAAAAAGUUGAUGCCUGAUGAGUCAAAUAAAAUAUCAAGUUCAACUAUGGUAGAGCGACCUUUGAUCUCAAAAACUCUUGAUACCAAGCAAGGCAGGAGAUUGAAAAGAAAACAUUUGAAGUACCAUUUGGGAAGCUUGCAUCUCAGCUCAAACAUUCUUUUCAAGACAUCUUUAAGCCUGUGUAAGAAGAAGAAACAUAGAAGGAAAAAAUGCGGAUCUGCAGUCUCCAAGUGUCCCACUGGAGGAAGUUUGUUCAGUAUAGAUGACAUGUCAUCUGAUUUCGGCCCAUCUACAUCUGAGAAAUCCAAGUCUGUUUACUUAGUUUCAACUUGUAAGCCCAGGAAGAAGUCUAAGCAUGGUUCUAGAGACAGUAAAGGUAAUUCUGCAAGGAAAGGAGAUCUUAAAAUGGAGUUACUGACUGAUAUAGUUGAUAAAGAAAGUGGAAAGAGAAGUACAGAGGCAAGUUCGGCGCCUGCAACCAUGAAUCAAAUGAACUGUAGCACUGACUCUAUCAUAAUGGCUAAUCACAAUGAUUCCACUGAAGCAAUUUGUCCAAAAGAUAGAAAAAGAAGUGUUAAUCAAGAUGGCUUGCAUCGUGUUCAUACCAACGGGUUUCAAAAU